Molecule: transfer RNA, 74 nt
Filed under: Prevotellaceae bacterium
Lineage: Bacteria; Pseudomonadati; Bacteroidota; Bacteroidia; Bacteroidales; Prevotellaceae
Description: tRNA-Gln
Rfam family: tRNA
About the family: Transfer RNA (tRNA) molecules are approximately 80 nucleotides in length. Their secondary structure includes four short double-helical elements and three loops (D, anti-codon, and T loops). Further hydrogen bonds mediate the characteristic L-shaped molecular structure. tRNAs have two regions of fundamental functional importance: the anti-codon, which is responsible for specific mRNA codon recognition, and the 3' end, to which the tRNAs corresponding amino acid is attached (by aminoacyl-tRNA synthetases). tRNAs cope with the degeneracy of the genetic code in two manners: having more than one tRNA (with a specific anti-codon) for a particular amino acid; and 'wobble' base-pairing, i.e. permitting non-standard base-pairing at the 3rd anti-codon position.
Source: RNAcentral
UGACCUAUGGUGUAAUGGUAGCACAACAGUCUCUGGAUCUGUUUGUCCAGGUUCGAAUCCGGGUAGGUCAACCA